Molecule: ribosomal RNA, 479 nt
Filed under: uncultured organism
Description: partial 16S ribosomal RNA
Rfam family: Bacterial small subunit ribosomal RNA
Source: RNAcentral
GUACACUCCUACGGGAGGCAGCAGUGGGGAAUUUUGGACAAUGGGCGAAAGCCUGAUCCAGCAAUGCCGCGUGCAGGAUGAAGGCCUUCGGGUUGUAAACUGCUUUUGUACGGAACGAAAAAGCUCCUUCUAAUACAGGGGGCCCAUGACGGUACCGUAAGAAUAAGCACCGGCUAACUACGUGCCAGCAGCCGCGGUAAUACGUAGGGUGCGAGCGUUAAUCGGAAUUACUGGGCGUAAAGCGUGCGCAGGCGGUUAUGUAAGACAGAUGUGAAAUCCCCGGGCUCAACCUGGGAACUGCAUUUGUGGCUGCAUGGCUAGAGUACGGUAGAGGGGGAUGGAAUUCCGCGUGUAGCAGUGAAAUGCGUAGAUAUGCGGAGGAACACCGAUGGCGAAGGCAAUCCCCUGGACCUGUACUGACGCUCAUGCACGAAAGCGUGGGGAGCAAACAGGAUUAGAUACCCCGGUAGUCCCAUGAU